Molecule: ribosomal RNA, 542 nt
Filed under: Sterigmatomyces halophilus
Lineage: Eukaryota; Fungi; Basidiomycota; Agaricostilbomycetes; Agaricostilbales; Agaricostilbaceae
Description: partial large subunit ribosomal RNA
Rfam family: Eukaryotic large subunit ribosomal RNA
Source: RNAcentral
UCGCAGUCCGAGUUGUAGUCUAUAGAAGCAUGAUCCGCGCCGGCCCUUGGGCAUGUCUGUUGGAACGCAGUGUCAAAGAGGGUGAAAAUCCCGUACAUACCAAGGACGACCGUGUGCAUUGUGGUCUGCUCUCUAAGAGUCGAGUUGUUUGGGAAUGCAGCUCUAAUUGGGUGGUAAAUUCCAUCUAAAGCUAAAUAUCGACGAGAGACCGAUAGCGAACAAGUACAGUAAUGGAAAGAUGAAAAGUAGCCUGCAGAGGCAAUGAAACAAUACGUGAAACCGUUUGUAGGGAAGCGAUGGAACCUUUUCACGCUGCGAGGGUUCAGCUUGGCUUCGGCUUAGUGUAUUCCCUCGUUUUGCGGACCAGCAUCAGUUUGCUUCGCAGUAUAAGGGUGAUUGGAACGUGGCUUCUCCGGAAGUGUUAUAGCCUUUCACUGGAUGCUGUGUCGCAGACUGAGGACUGCAGUGCGCCGUAAGGCAUGGUCUUCGGGCCACGAGCACUUAGGAUGCUGGGCGAAUGGGUUUCAACGACCCGUCUUGAA